RNAcentral lists this long non-coding RNA (279 nucleotides) under Capsicum annuum. RNAcentral describes it as "long non-coding RNA (CANN_LNC017400)". Lineage: Eukaryota; Viridiplantae; Streptophyta; Magnoliopsida; Solanales; Solanaceae. The record is from RNAcentral.
GAAACUGAAACUUGACCAUUCGAGUCCGACAAUCAAUAGAGGAAUAAGAAGAAUACAACCAGUCCAUACCCAGAAUCACAUCAAAAUCUACCAUGUCUAACUCAAUCAGAUCAGCCAACAAGACUCUAUGAAGAACGGUAACAGGACACUUUUUAUACACUUUCUGGGCAACAAUCGAAUCACCCACUGGGGUAGAAACUAGGAUAGGCUCAGGAAUAAUCUCAGGACUCAUUUCAAAAUUCACAGCAAUCAAAGGUGUAACAUAUGAGAAACUGGAUC